GGUAAUCCAGUAAAUACUCUGGAAACACAUCAGGAUACUCACAAACCACAGACACUUUAAUCUUUGACUUAGACACUUUAGUAUCCAAUACAUAAGCAAGGUAAGUAUUACAACCCUUUCUCACAUAUUUCUGUGCUGACAUAGCUGAUAUCACAUUAGGCAACCCAUCCAAUUUAUCUGAUUCAAUACAAAGCAUUUCACCAUUCUGACAUUUUAAUAAAAUAUGCUUUUGUUUACAAUUUAC
This 244-nucleotide long non-coding RNA is filed under the name Gossypium barbadense (sea-island cotton). RNAcentral describes it as "long non-coding RNA (GBAR_LNC014481)". The record is from RNAcentral. Lineage: Eukaryota; Viridiplantae; Streptophyta; Magnoliopsida; Malvales; Malvaceae.